GAUGAAUGCUGGCGGCGUGCUUAACACAUGCAAGUCGAGCGGCAGCGAGGGUUGCUUGCUCCCUGUCGGCGGGCGGCGAACGGAUGAGUUACGUGUAGUACUUUGCCCCAAAGUGAGGGCUAACUGCCCGAAAUGGUAUCUCAUGCCGCACCUGUUCUUCCGUUUGAAGGGUUUAUACGCUUUGGGAGAAGCCUGCGUUGGAUUAGGUUGUUGGUAGGGUAAUGGCCUACCAAGCCGACGAUCCAUAGCCGGUCUGAGAGGGUGAUCAGCCAGACUGGAACUGAGACACGGUCCAGACUCCUACGGGAGGCAGCAGUGAGGAAUCUUCCACAAUGGGCGAAAGCCUGAUGGAGCAACGCCGCGUGAAGGAUGAAGGCCUUCGGGUUGUAAACUUCUUUUAUGAGUGAAGAAUAUGACGGUAACUCAUGAAUAAGCACCGGCUAACUACGUG
Molecule: ribosomal RNA, 451 nt
Filed under: uncultured bacterium
Lineage: Bacteria
Description: partial 16S ribosomal RNA
Rfam family: Bacterial small subunit ribosomal RNA
Source: RNAcentral